Non-coding RNA from Propithecus coquereli (Coquerel's sifaka), 76 nucleotides. NCBI's taxonomy places the organism in Eukaryota, Metazoa, Chordata, Mammalia, Primates, Indriidae. The record is from Ensembl.
GUUAAGAUGGCAGAGCCCGGCAAUUGCAUAAAACUUAAGACUUUAUAAACCAGAGGUUCAAUUCCUCUUCUUAACA